RNAcentral lists this ribosomal RNA (305 nucleotides) under uncultured bacterium. Its description in RNAcentral is "bacterial SSU rRNA". It matches the Rfam family "Bacterial small subunit ribosomal RNA", at positions 335 to 654 of the family's 1533-position model. The record is from RNAcentral.
CUCCCUACAGGAGGCAGCAGUGGGGAAUAUUGGGCAAUGGAGGCAACUCUGACCCAGCAACGCCGCGUGAAUGAUGAAGGUCUUCGGAUUGUAAAGUUCUUUUCUAAGGGAAGAAGAAAGUGACGGUACCUUAGGAAUAAGCCUCGGCUAACUACGUGCCAGCAGCCGCGGUAAUACGUAGGAGGCAAGCGUUAUCCGGAAUGACUGGGCGUAAAGGGUGCGUAGGGGGUUUGACAAGUUGGUAGCGAAAUCCCGAGGCUCAACCUCGGCACUACUACCAAAACUGUUGGACUUGAGUGCAGGAG